Molecule: ribozyme, 70 nt
Filed under: unclassified sequences
Also listed under: 1 other name
Description: HDV ribozyme from F. prausnitzii
Rfam family: HDV ribozyme from F. prausnitzii
Source: RNAcentral
UCUGCUCUAAAAGACAUCCUCCACGCGGCGAGUAGCGGGCAACGGGAUACACUCCCGGCGAAUCGUCUUU